RNAcentral lists this unclassified non-coding RNA (230 nucleotides) under fungal sp. RNAcentral describes it as "partial contains small subunit ribosomal RNA, internal transcribed spacer 1, and 5.8S ribosomal RNA". The stretch from base 1 to 46 matches the Rfam family "Eukaryotic small subunit ribosomal RNA", at positions 1786 to 1831 of the family's 1831-position model. RNAcentral also lists the same sequence under 1 other name. Lineage: Eukaryota; Fungi. The record is from RNAcentral.
AAGUCGUAACAAGGUUUCCGUAGGUGAACCUGCGGAAGGAUCAUUAUUGAAUUGUUUGUUUGAAUUGGCUUAAAACCCCAAUUCAGCAUCCAUAUCCAUAACACCUGUGCACUGUUGGAUGAACUCGACCCUUUGGGUCUUGCAAGUCCACUUUUACACCAAACAAUUUGUAACAAAUGUAGUCUUAUUAUAACAUAAUAAAACUUUCAACAACGGAUCUCUUGGUUCUC